GCUAAUAUGUAAAUGUCUAACUCCGUUACUACAUUUACCCGUUUUAUUCAUUAUAUGAAUUGUUUAUUCAGAAAAUUUAAAUUGUAAACGUCAGUAAAAGCACGACCUGAGAAAAAAGGAAAAGAAAGAAAUAUUGUGAAUGUUUCGUGUACAGUCACGGUGCGUACGUGUACGGUGUCAGCUCUCCACCGCUUUGUCGGCACGCCACUGCACGUUCCGGUAUCAGCGGCCGACCGCAGCCCACAAACUUAAAGAAAAAAAAAAAACAGUUGGCACAUGGACCACGCGGCGUUGUGUUACUCCGCUAGCCAAUCACAGAAGCAAACAAAGUCGUCGUCAUUCGACGUUUUCAAAAUGGCAUCAUGCUUGAUACCGACGUUUUCUUGAUACCUCCGCAGCGUCUGCUGUUCUUGAAGGGUCUUUUCAUCGGCGGAAGCGAUGAGGUGUGCAACACACAUGGACAAAGUGUAUGGAAUCUGAGCAUUUCACUCUUCGAAGGUCCUCGGGUGCGCUACGAGUCCCCAAGCCCACAAGGGUAUGCACCAUUGAGUUUGGACCUUUUCUGCACUAACACCAGUGCCUGCCCACAUGGUGAUGUUUUUCUCAACAUCUCGGACACAUCUUUUUCCAGAUCCCAGCCACAGACAGCUUCACUGUAAAAAAAGAAAGAGAUAAAGAAAACAGGAUUUCUGCACUCACCCGAGAACCACUGUCCACGCACACUAAGGGAACACAGCUAGCAGCCUGGUUUCGCUUGCGGCAACAGGCACCGUAGAAGCCUUUUUUUCAGCUGAUGCAAUGUGCACCUGAACAGCGUGCUGCACAUGGGGCCGAGCUGCAGAAAUCCCUUCUGUAGCGAACUAAAAAUUCUGCGCGAAUUAUUAGCUGGAGAAAAAGUGCCUGUCAACUGAUCAAUUACAGACGCGACGUGUACUGCAGGCAUGGGGUUGCAAGUGAUUGGGAGUGUUGGAAGUGAUUAAAGAACAAGUUAUACACCAAAUCUGGGAAAGAUCUAUCGAUCAGAAGUGCUAAGUUGUGAUUAAUUUAUACCAUAAAGAAGUGGAAAGCUAUACCUGAGCGCUCUUUAUUGUCAUAUGUAGGACAGUAUUGUUUAUCUGGCUCGGAAGCGAGCACUAUUUUCCUGUCUCUGGCCACGUCGAGGGGCGCUAUUGCGCCUAUUGAACAUAGCAGAAGCAUUAGUAGUCUUAUUUCAAAAUUCAUGCUUUGGAGCAGGCUUACAGAGCCCAGGUAGUUUGGAACAGGAUGGCACAAUUGGCACAUCACUUCCCUUCCAUUGUUGAAAGUUUUGCAG
This is a long non-coding RNA of Dermacentor albipictus, 1312 nucleotides long. RefSeq lists it as uncharacterized. The record is from RefSeq and is a predicted model, not a curated record. NCBI's taxonomy places the organism in Eukaryota, Metazoa, Arthropoda, Arachnida, Ixodida, Ixodidae.